GGAAGGAAGCUGCUCCCCGCUCUGCUGCAGCGCUCAGCCCCGAUUUUGGCAGCAGGACGAGGGGGGCAGGUAGAGCUGCCGAGCCGCCCGGUGCCGGCAUCCCUUCCCAACCCGUCUGAACCGAAAGCCAAAGUGCCAAAACUCCCCCAAGGAGGCGCAGAAGGAGCGAAUCCUUCGGGGAAUCCCCCGGGGCUGAGGCUUCACGCCUCCCCGGGUGCCGAACAGACGCGGAACCUGCGGGAGAUGCAUCUCACACCCAGCUGACUUCAAAGCGCUGCCAGCCUUUCAGCCAGGGCAGCCGGAGCCGCUUUAUGGCCUGGGGCCUCUUUGCUGCCAUUUGCCUACAAGUGCCAGACGCUGCCUUCCUCCUCUUCCUGCCUCUUUCAGAAGCAGUUUGAUGGGGAAUUUGUUGGUUGAUUUUUCUCUCCUCCCCAACCCCCCCCCCCCUGCUCCAUCCGCCUUCAUCGGGCCGGACGGCGGUGAAUCACAGCAGGGAGCUGAUGUGACUUAAUGGGAAUUUUUAAUGGGUGUCGUGCAGAGGAGCUCAAACUGCACUGCCAGCGUGGCCAGGUGCUCACAAAGCACAGAGGACGAUGAGGGUGGCAGAGAUCUGCGUUUCUGAGCCCGGUGUGGCAGCCCAGCCCCUCAUUUCCUCCAUGCAUUGGGAAAAACAUCCGGCCUGAAUGCAGGAAACCCCCCCCCCCCCCUCGCAUGCAGCUCCCAGCUCACAGCCAUCACCCUGCAAACGGCUUCUCACACCCUGGAGGGACCCAGAUGGGAGCUGCAGAGCCUCUGCCUGCGUGCUGGGAGCAGGCAGUGAUGCUCGCUAUCCAAAACCCAGCCCGUUUUCCUCCCUACCUCCUCAUGCCCUCCUUGGCUUCGGCCCAGGCCAAAGGAAAAUCCGACUCUCCGACGGCUCUGCCAGAAGCAGCACAAAGUGGUGGCCGAGGAGCAGAGGCUUUGCUGAGAGGAGCAGAGGGAAGCUUCAAUUUUCCCCUGCACGUGCGGGAGGAAACCGGCAACCGCUGCUUUGCUGCCGGGUGUCAAAGCAGAAAGCAAAGUCACCGCGUGCUGCUGCCCCACAGCUUCACCAAGGCCGUGUGGGGAGCAGCCCUGGGGUUUGCUGAGGGGUGGCAGACAAGCAAGCACCCCACACACGGGGGAUUCAAAGCACCCCAGGGCGCCCAUGGGGGUUUUUGGGAGCCUCGCUGCACGUCGAGGGCUGCAGCUCCCCCCCCCCAGCAUCGCUGCUCUGAGGUGAGGAUCCACAAUUGCUUUCAAUGGGGCAAAAUAGGUGGAGAAAGGAAGGUGAGGAGAGAGGGGGGGGGAAGAGGGGAACGCCUGUGUUUUACCAUUCAUUUCCCUGAUAAAAAUAAACCCAUUCCUCCAACCUUA
Molecule: long non-coding RNA, 1395 nt
Organism: Lagopus leucura (white-tailed ptarmigan)
Lineage: Eukaryota; Metazoa; Chordata; Aves; Galliformes; Phasianidae
Exons: 2
Source: RefSeq, a predicted model, not a curated record